AAUCAACGCUGGCGGCGUGCCUAACACAUGCAAGUCGAACGCGAAAGGGCUUCGGCCCUGAGUAGAGUGGCGUCCGGGUGAGUAACGCGUGGGUAAUCUACCCUCGGUGGGAAUAACCAAUCGAAGAUUGGCUAAUACCGCAUAAUGCAGCGGCUCGACAUCGAGACAGUUGUUAAAGCAGCAAUGCGCCAGAGGAGGAGCCUGCGUCUGAUUAGCUUGUUGGC
RNAcentral lists this ribosomal RNA (224 nucleotides) under uncultured bacterium. RNAcentral describes it as "partial 16S ribosomal RNA". It matches the Rfam family "Bacterial small subunit ribosomal RNA", at positions 32 to 253 of the family's 1533-position model. The record is from RNAcentral.